CUUGCCAUACCGGAUAGAACUGCCUAUAUUUUUCAGUGCCGGAGGCUUCGGCCUUGGCUAUGGCGAUAAACGGUAGAUGAAAUAAGUGUUGUGGACCCGGGGGCAGUGCCCGGCGUCUCCACCAUCGGCCUUAUAGGCUGACGCUAUGGGGACGAAACAGGCUCGACACGCAUGGUAAAGAUCUACUUUUUGCCCGGUAUUGUUCCGCCGUCAUCGGGCUGACUUUACAAGUGCCAACGAUAACUCUGAGGUGCUCGCUGUUGCUGCAUAAGCGAUAAGCGCGGUUCGGGGGGAGCACCGGGCAACAGAAGCCCCC
Molecule: transfer-messenger RNA, 316 nt
Filed under: uncultured Bombella sp.
Lineage: Bacteria; Pseudomonadati; Pseudomonadota; Alphaproteobacteria; Acetobacterales; Acetobacteraceae
Description: Alphaproteobacteria transfer-messenger RNA
Rfam family: Alphaproteobacteria transfer-messenger RNA
About the family: Bacterial tmRNA, also known as 10Sa RNA or SsrA, is named for its dual tRNA and mRNA-like properties. Its role is to liberate the mRNA from a stalled ribosome.
Source: RNAcentral